Molecule: ribosomal RNA, 253 nt
Filed under: uncultured bacterium
Lineage: Bacteria
Description: partial 16S ribosomal RNA
Rfam family: Bacterial small subunit ribosomal RNA
Source: RNAcentral
UACGUAGGGCGCAAGCGUUAUCCGGAAUUAUUGGGCGUAAAGAGCUCGUAGGUGGUUUGUUGCGUCGGCUGUGAAAUCCCGAGGCUCAACCUCGGGUCUGCAGUCGAUACGAGCAAACUAGAGUGUUGCAGGGGAGACUGGAAUUCCUGGUGUAGCGGUGAAAUGCGCAGAUAUCAGGAGGAACACCAAUAGCGAAGGCAGCUCGCUGGGACGGUAUUGACGCUAAGGCGCGAAAGCGUGGGGAGCAAACAGG